UACGUAGGUGGCAAGCGUUAUCCGGAAUUACUGGGCGUAAAGCGCACGCAGGCGGCUUGGUAAGUUUGACGUGAAAGCUCCUGGCUUAACCGGGAGAGGUCGUUGAAGACUGCCGGGCUUGAGGCGAUGAGAGGGGUGCGGAAUUCCCGGUGUAGUGGUGGAAUGCGUAGAUAUCGGGAGGAACACCAGUGGCGAAAGCGGCACCCUGGCAUCGGCCUGACGCUCAUGUGCGAAGGCGUGGGGAGCGAACGGG
This 253-nucleotide unclassified non-coding RNA is filed under the name uncultured Caldilineaceae bacterium. RNAcentral describes it as "contains 16S-23S intergenic spacer region". It matches the Rfam family "Bacterial small subunit ribosomal RNA", at positions 524 to 776 of the family's 1533-position model. The record is from RNAcentral. Lineage: Bacteria; Bacillati; Chloroflexota; Caldilineae; Caldilineales; Caldilineaceae.